Molecule: ribosomal RNA, 468 nt
Filed under: uncultured bacterium
Lineage: Bacteria
Description: partial 16S ribosomal RNA
Rfam family: Bacterial small subunit ribosomal RNA
Source: RNAcentral
GACGAACGCUGGCGGCGUGCUUAACACAUGCAAGUCGAACGGAAAGGCCCUGCUUUUGUUGGGUGCUCGAGUGGCGAACGGGUGAGUAACACGUGAGUAACCUGCCCUUGACUUUGGGAUAACUUCAGGAAACUGGGGCGAAUAUCGGAUAUGAGCUCCUGCUGCAUGUGGGGGGUUGGUAAGUGUCGGCCGUUGGGGAUGGAUUAGAUGCUUAUGCGCUUGAUUGGGGGGUAGGUGAGGACCAAGGUUUUGACGGGUAGCCUGCAUGAGAGGGUUGCCGGGCACCAUGGGACUGCGAUACGGAGCAGAAUGCUACGGGAGGCAGCAGUGGAGAAUAUUGCACAAUGGGGGGAAGCCUGAUGCAGCAACGCCGCGUGCGGGAUGCCGGCCUUCGGGUUGUAAACAGCUUUCGCCUGUGACGAAGCGUGAGUGACGGUAAUGGGUAAAGAAGCACCGGCUAACUACGUG